CACACACACACACACACACACACACACACACACACACACACACACACACACACACACACACACACGCACGCACGCACGCACGCACACACACACACACACACAAGCACAUGUUAAUGACGUUUGUCAGUAAGGGUCCUAAUUAGAGCUUUACUAAUAUCACCCAUCUAUGUAGUAAACUCAUAUUCUUCCUACCAGGGUCACGGGGUCUAAAUCAGAGUUUUGGUCAACAUGGUGUGACCUUAGGAAGGUCCUGAUCCAUCCAUAAGUCCAGACAUCCUGCAAGUACACAAAGAGCCCCAGUCUAAAGGACAGCCAGGGUUCUUAAGCAGAGACGGGACAGGACUGUGGUUGGGAGACAGCUGAAUGUGUUACGUGUUUAUUAUGCCUCCUAGUCGACAUUAUAGCUGUGAAAUCUGAAUGAUAUGAUUCAGAAGAAUGCUCAGAUGAAGAGCAAACAGCAGUUAGAGAGAUCUGAAAGUUAAUGACUGUUUAGUUUCAGCAGCUUCCAACCAGCCUCAUCCUCAGAUGAACCCAGACUCUCAUCAGCUGGCCCAGAGUCGACAUCAGAGGAAACCUGCUGCCACGUCGUCUCUCCACUUUCUCUCGUCCGUCUCAUCCCUCUCUGACUCCUCCUCAUUCCCUCGCUCUACAUUUCUGUUUUUCUUUUCUCUUUUCUUUUAUAUCUGCAGGCCUUCCAUUUUCUCAGUCUACUACACUUGUCUCUCACUCCCUCUGUCCUUGGCAGAACCCUGGUUCGGGCCAUGUGAUGUGGUUGCAGCAGUGAGGAAGUGAAGGAAGGCUCAAUCCGGUCCAGUUGCACCCUAAAUGCCACCUUGUCAACUACAUGAAGCAGUUAUCAGAUCCCAGGGCUGCUUCAGAGCUGAACUAUGACUCUUCACACACGUCAGUAAAGAAUAAUUUGGAAAAACUUUACCUUGUUAAUCUUCACAAUUUUCCUGUAUAAAUCGUUGGCUGUUACAAUGAAACAUUUCAGUUAAAUAUAUCGUAUAGGAGACACAGUGAUGUUUGAGAAGUGAAACAAAGUUUAUGGGAUUUACAGAAAGAGUGCAAUAAUUGUUUAAACUAAAUUAAGCAGGUGCAUAAAUUUGGGCACCACAAAAAAUGAAUGAAUUCAAUAUUUAGCAGAUCCUCCUUUAGCAGAAAUAACAGCCUCUAAACUCUUCCUGUAGCUUCCAAUGAGAGUCUGGAUUCUGGUUGAAGGUAUUUUGGACCAUUCUCCUUUACUAAACAUCUCUAGUUCAUUCAGGUCUGAUGCUUCUGAGCAUGGACAGCUCUCUCUAACUCACACCACAGAUGUUCAAUAACAUUCAGGUCUGGUGCUGAGAAGAACAUUCCAGAACGUUCUACUUGUUCCUCUGCAUGAACGCCUUAGUAGAUGCUGAGCAGUGUUUAGGGUCAUUGUCUUGUAGAAAGAUCCAGCCCCGGUGCCGCUUCAGCUUUGUCACUGAUUCCUGGACAUUGGUCUCCAGAAUCUGCUGAUAUUGAGUGGAAUCCAUGCGUCCCUCAACUUUAACAAGAUUCCCAGUCCCUGCACUGGCCACACAGCCCACAGCAUGAUGGAACCACCUCCAUGUUUUACUGUAGGUAGCAGGUGUUUUUCUUGGAAUGCUGUUCUUACUCCUCCAUGCAUAACGCCCCUUGUUCUGCCCAAAUAUCUCAGUUUAGUUUCAUCAGUCCACAGCACCUUAUUCCAGAAUGAAGCUGGCUUGUCCAGAAGUGCUUUAGCGUACCUCAAGCAGCUCUGUUGGUGCUGUGGGUGGAGAAAAGGCUUCCUCUGCAUCACUCUCACAUGCAGCAUCUCCUUGUGUAAAGUGCACCGAAUAGUUGACCGUUGCAGAGUGACUCCAUCUGCAGCAAGAUGAUGUUGUAGGUCUUUGGUGCUGGUCUGUGGGUGACUGACCGUUCUCACCAUUCUUCACUUCUGUUUAUCUGAGAUGUUUCUUGGUCUGCCACUUGGAGCCUUAACAUGAACUGUGCCUGUGAUCUUCCAUUUACUCAAUAUGUUCCUAACUGUGGAAACAGACAGCUGAAACCUCUGAGAAAGCGUUCUGGAUCCUUCCCCGAAACCAUGAUGGUGUCAGGUCUUUGUUUUCAGCUCAUGUGAGAGUUGUUCCGAGACCCCAUGUUGCUUCUCUUCAGAGAAUGUUCACAGAGGAGGGAAACUUACAAUUGGCCCCCUUAAACACUCUUUCUCAUAAUUGGAAUCACCUGUGUAUGGAGGUCAAGGGUUACUGACCUUACCAAACCAAUUGUGAGUUCCAGUAAUUAGGACUAAAGGUUUUGGAAUCAAUAAAAUGACAACAGUGUCCAAAUGUUUGCACCUGCCUAAUGCUGUUUCAAUAUAAUGUAUUUAAAUGAUUUUUUUUCUUAACAACCAACAAUUAAUAAAGGAAAAUCAUGAAGAUUACCAAGGCUGUUCGAACUUUUGUAUCCCAAUGAAUGUACAACUUAAUCUGAAUACGGGGGUGGAGCUUAUUACACUCAGCAAACACAACGUUAAAUAUAAAAUCUAUUGUUACACAUACAUAUAAUUAUUUAUACUUCGGUUUCACCAAUUUGAAUAAUUAUGGUACAUUUUUGAAUUAAAAACAAUAACAACAUUUGUUUAAAAGCUUUUACUUUGUUCUGUGUGACCUGGAUGGACCAGUGCUGGCCCUAGACCCACUGUUUUACUAUUAAUAUCUUCUUUUUUAUGUGGCUUUUCUUGCUGCACACACACACACACACACACACACACACACACACACACACACACACACACACACACACACACACACACGCACACACACACACGCACAUGCACGCGCACGCGCGUGCGCACACACACACACACACACACACACACACACACACAGAUGGAGAAAUGUGGAGAUCCUUAGCUCCUCCCACGAUCCAGUCCAGAACUUUGGCUGAAAAAUGGACUCAACAUUUUUUCUUGAAAUAAAUGCAGAGAAAACCAAACCAUGACAAACACAGUUUCAUCAAGUACUUCUGAACAGAAAACACCUUUGAGAAGUCGCUUUUUAACACAGUUCUGACGUGUAUCGUUUAUCUCUUUAAAAACAAUUCAUGAUUUUCUUCUUCUUUUGUUUAAACAAAACAAACACCUCUCACUGAAAAACACUUUCCUGUUCUGGACCAGAAGGAAAGUUCUCACUGUUCCUUCAUGCAUGAGGCAGCAGCAUCCUCUUGUGGUUGAAAGGCUCAAUGCUGACUCCCAGAGGCAGGAACUUCUCAGAGUUCUGAUCUCCCUGUAUCACAUCCUGCUAUUUAUGUUGUUUAUUCAGUAAUUCAUAUACCAGCAAUGCAACAACACACGAAAACCCUUUAUUUUGGGGAAAACUUAACGUUGCAGCAGCCUUCAUGUCAAGUGCAGUGGUAUUGGCCACCAGGGGGCGACACUGCAUCACAGGGCGUCUGAGGAGAGUCACUUUGUCCUCAUUAUAGCAGAUCCUGGGAUUUCUCCUGAUUUCUGAAAUGUUGUUCCUUUAAUCAACUGAGGUAACAUCAAACAAGCUAUACCCAUUCAAGGACGACAACUUAAAGCCCCAACCCUAAAAGUAAAGUUAGUUACUUCUACAUUUCAUUUAUAUAGUACUCAUUACAGACGGAGAAUCACAAAUCAUAAAGUCAUAAAGCCAUAAUGAUCUUAAAAAAGAAAUAAAUUAACAUCAGAAAAACAAAGUCAUAUGAUUAGAAAAUUCCAUAAAACAGACAAAAGAUGAUUACAAAUUUGAGUUAGAAAUAAGAAAAUAAAAGAUUUAGGUAAAAGCAGCUUUAAAUAAAAGGGUGUUCAGCUGCUUUUUAAAAGUGUCCAGACUGUCAAUGCUACGUAAGGAUAAAAGAAGAUCAUCAUUCCAAAGUCGGGGUGCAAGAGUCUGGAAGGAGCGAUCACUUCGACUUAUUUAUCUGGUCUUUGGAACUUCUAGAAGGUUCUGGUGGGUGGACCUGAGGGCUCGGGUUGGAGCACAAGGCUUUAACAGUUCAGUAAUAUAGGAAGGAGCUUGACCAUGUAGAGCCCUGAAAGUUCUAGUCAGGACUCUAAAAUGAACUCUAAAGUUAACCAGUAACGGUAACCAGUGCAGAGACGUUAGAAUAGGAGUGAUGUGUGCUCUUCUGUUUGCUCCAGUUAGGAGCCUCGCUGCAGAGUUCUGGACCAACUGAAGGCGGUCAAGGGCUUUUUUGUUAAAACGUGAAAAGUGUGUUACAGUAAUCUAGACAGGAGGUGAUAAAGGCAUGGAUAACCAUUUCAAGUUCAUGUUUUGAUACCAACCUUUGUGGUUUAGAGACGUUUCUUAAGUAAUAAAAACAGUUUCGGACCAAUGUUCAAAAGACAUUGAUUGAUCAAAAACACCCAAAUUCCUCAAGUUUGUCUUGACGGCAGAGGAUAAAUGACCAAGUUUUUGACUAAUCAGGGGAACCAUGUUCUCAGGGGCAAUGACCAGACAUUCAGUGUUUUCAGAGUUUAACUGAAGGAAGUUAUCUUCUAGCCAGCUGUGUCAUGAGUCGGGGUGAGUACUCUGCCCAUCAUCUCAUCAUCUCUGAGGUUUUUUGCCUGCAGGAGAGGGAGCGCAGCUGAUCCGAAUCAGACUGAUCAGUGGGGCGGCUUUAAAAGGAGGAGGAAUAUCCUCAUUCGACGCUGGAUGAUUAUCUACUGCCUGACUUACCAUCGUUGGAUCCGUUCCCGUCUCCAAACCAUAGGAAUAUUCACUGGUUCGCUGCCUGGAUUACGACUCCACCCAGCCGCCCCGCUCUCCACCGAUUACGCUCUCUCUCCUCUGCCUCAUCUUCAUCCACCUCGUCAGCUCAGCUCAUCCACCCCGAUAUCACAAAUCUUCUCUGGAUAUCACCCCGGCUCAUCUCCCCUCCGCAUUCAUCCCGGACUUCCUCAUCUUACCGCUUCCGGACUCGUCCUCCCGUUGGAUCUUCAGAACACCUUCAGUUCACAUCCACAUUUUAAUAAAUUAUUGUUCUUCCUUUACAUCAUCU
This is a non-coding RNA of Nothobranchius furzeri (turquoise killifish), 5010 nucleotides long. The record is from RefSeq and is a predicted model, not a curated record. Lineage: Eukaryota; Metazoa; Chordata; Actinopteri; Cyprinodontiformes; Nothobranchiidae.